RNA transcript from Cornus florida, 3595 nucleotides. It is a transcript of the gene named general transcription and DNA repair factor IIH subunit TFB4-like, with no coding region annotated. The transcript is spliced from 5 exons. Lineage: Eukaryota; Viridiplantae; Streptophyta; Magnoliopsida; Cornales; Cornaceae. The record is from RefSeq and is a predicted model, not a curated record.
UGAUGUUAACCCUCUCACGGUCUUAAUGGACACAAACCCUUUCUUCAGGAACGCAACAACCAACACUCUUUCAUUCUCCAAGUUCCUCUCUCGUAACUCUUCUGUAAACCCUAACUUUCUCUCUCUAAAACUAAUAUCCCCUAAUUCACCAAUGACUCUCAUCUUCACGAAUUCACACAGGUCCUUUCAGUCUUGAACUCCAUUCUACUUCUCAACCAAGUCAAUCAAGUUGUCGUAAUCGCCACGGGCUUCAAUUCGUGCGAGUACGUCUAUGAUUUGUCUUCAAAUGAGGUUGCACACAAUCAGAGGGCGGAGAGUUUGUUGAGGAGGUUGGAGGAGUUUGUGAUUGAGGAUGAAAAACUAAGUAAGGACGAAUCAGUUGAUGGGAUUGGAGCUUCACUGUUAUCAGGGUCUUUGUCGAUGGCCCUUUGUUGUAUCCUUAUAAUUGAUUGCUCAUACAUUCAUUGCUUAUAUUGUAAUUUAUAUAAAGCUGUUUUGGAUUAAUCAUUUUUCCUCUUGAUUGAUUUAUUGCCAAAGGGCUGGAGAUUUUAUUAUCCUAUUAACGGUUUAAUUUUUUAUUUUUUUCUAAUAAUUGUUGUGGUGGACAAUUGUGACUUGUAAGAUUGGUUUCACAUUUUUUCUUCUUCUUCAUUAUAUUCCUUUGGACGUAAUUUCUAGAUUUUAAUUACAUCUUUUUGUUGUAAUGCUUAGUGCCAUUGUAUAGUUUUGUUGAAAUUGAGGGUUAAAUUCUCCCAGAAGUCCAUAAGCAUUUAGAUGUGGCAUGAUGCUAAUGCUAAUUGCUGAAAAAUUCUGUGUAUAUAUGUAGAUGAUCUGCACCCUAAAUACAUAUCUAUGACUAUUAAUUUAUCAAUACAACAAAUAGUUGUUGGUAAUGCUGGUCUAAAAUAAUAGUGUAUGAGUUUUUAACAAAAAAAAUUAUUUAGUUUCUUGUUCAAUGUCUUUACAAUAAAGUUUUUACUAACUAUAAGUCUGAGCUGUUUGAUAAAAUGCCUUAAUCUAAUUAAAGAAUUUCAGUUAUAGCAAAUUCCAUAUAAUAGCAUUAGAUCGUGAUUUGGAUCGGGUGUUGAUUUUUUUUUUUUUCCUUCAUUUGCUGGGUGGGAAGGGAGGGGGAGAGUGUUCCGUGAAAUGAAGGCAAGAACAAAAACUCUUGCAUUUGGCUUUACUUUUUUCAUAUUGGCAGUUAGAUGUUCAUUUUACCUUUUGAAAGCAAGCUUCUGUUAUUUCUUUCUUCUAUUACUUUUAUUCUUCUUAGUAAUUGCGAUUUUUUUUUUUUUGUUUUUUUUUUUUUCAUAUUUGGUUCAAUUUAUAUAUAUUGAUGUUAACUAUUCACUGCUCUUGGUUUCAGAUUACUGUCAAAAUCAGCUGCGAUAUACAUCAGCACAUUUUCUGACUUUUUAAGCAACAAUAGUCUGUCCAAAAUCUUGGUAAAAAGCGAAAAGUCAGAUAAUGUGCCGAUGUUAAAUGUUCUGCAAUAAAAAAAACUACAUAAAAUUUUCAUUGAGGAUUCUCUAAUGGUUCUGUUAUAAUUAUUUUUCUUUAUUUUAUAUAUAUGUGCUGAUCCUUUAAUGGUUGAAUAAUGUAAAUUUUUUUGUUCACUGUUAAGCCCAGCUGAUCUCUUGGAUUCACCUGUUCUCCUCUCCACUUAUAACGUUGUCAAUGUGAAAUGGCUGCUGAUCAGAACCCGAGCGAGCAUAUGAGUUGGAGUUGGAGUUGAAGUUUCACUUAUUAAAGAGCAAUCAAAAACAUGACUGGUCUGAAGAGGAAAAAUGAUGUUGUCAUAUCUGAGGCAAUUCCGGAGUCUGAAUAAUCCUAGUUGUGAUGUUCUGGAUGGUGAGCAUUCAGCACCUGUUGGAUCCCCUUCAUGGAAAGUCUAGUUUCAGAAUACUCAGGAAGAGUGUUCAAAAAUGGAGAGAGAAUCAAAGUCCAUUCAAGCCCGCUUUCUAAACCAGAUUGAGAAAAAGUGGAGGGGAAAAAAGUGGUGAGGAAGGUAACUUAUGAACAAUCAAAGGAGGACAUUAAUAAGUGGGGGCCUUUAGUCAAGAGAAAUAGGGAGGCACACACUUGUUAUGUUGACAAAGAAGUAGAUCUGGACUUUUCAACUAUCAGGGCAAUUGCUUCUGAAUUUGAACCUAGAACUGAAUUUGAGAAGAAAAUGGCUCCCUUGUAUAAUAGCAGAGAGGUUCUAGAAGCUCACAGCAAAGAUGGUGCUAGGCUUCUUGCAAUGGACAAGGUAUGGAGGUCCUACACAUUAUUUCUUUUCCAGUUUUGGUAUUCCAGCAUCUGUCAUAUUUGGUUAUCGUAUUUUCACUGCCACGGGAGAAUUCCUAAUUAUUAAGUUCUUUGAUAGAAUGGAAAAUGUUGUAUGAAGAAUUGACAAAUUUAGGAUGUAGGAACACAUGUUUGGAACUAGACAUUAUCUGUGAUGACUGGUUUGGAGUAAAUGGUUAAGAUUCAUAUAUAAUUAUGUGUGUGUGUGUGUGUGUCCUUAUGGAUGAGUAAUGCUAGUUGAAGGAGUUUUUAUGGAUUGAUCGCUUCUGUGUUCUGAAUAAAUUUGCUUGGAAAGGUUUCCGUGGAAACAACAUUGUUUAGAAAGGAGAAAGAAGGCAUUGGCAUGAGGAGGUUAGAAAGGAGAAAGAAGGCAUUGACAUGAGGAAUUGAGCUUCUUUUUCCUCUCUGUGUUGGGUUUUGAUCUGAGGUUUGGUUGUAUGUACCUAAACAAACCUCUCCUUCAAAGAUGUAUAACCUAAUAUAUGCCAUAAUGAACCCUUUUUAUAUUGGGUCUCCAUUCAUAUUUCUGACAUGAGGGACAAUUGAUAUGUUUAGGAUUUCAGUGUGCGUAUUUGUGCACAUGCAUGUUUAUUAAAUUUCUUUUUUUAUUUUUAAAAAAUAUCUAUUUAUAGUAAAUUCAUUUUGAAUGCUACCAUAUUUACUUGAAACAAACUUGGGCAACUGUUGGAUCAAGCAUUUCAGAUCCAACCGCUCAAGAGCAUCAGUGUUUGCAUUGGUGAGAGUCGCUGUCUCCAUCAAAAGAACAUUUUAUUUAUUGAAGCUAAUGUCUGUAAGUUUGCUGAUAGAUACAGCGAUUAUUUAAUUAACAUUUGGCGUGUUCCAUUACAUACCUCAUAAGCAUCUUCAAAUGCCCUCAGGUGAAGAAUAACAGGCCUUGCCUUCUCUAGUGUUCUACGUGUCCUUGUAUCUUCAGGAGCUGCUUCUCGGGUAGGAUAUUAGAGCUGUGUGUUUGGAGCACCACAGAUGAUGAAAAAUAUUUGCAAGAGAGUAAAUCCAGAUGGGCGAGACAUAAUUCCUCUUACAGAUACCUGCAUACAUAAAAUGUUUUUAUAGUAGUUUUCUUUUAUUUAUACUGUAAUUUCUUUAAUUAAAUUGUCUUUUGAGCCCUUGAGAUGAUGGAUAAGAGAAAAUUAAGAUGUUUAUGUUUGAGUUUGAACUAGAGAAAAGAUGCAUUGAUAUUUCAUCUACUAUUAUAAUAAGUGCGUGAAGCUGGAUUAUUUUAAUGUUGUAAAUGUGACUCUGGCGGCUGUUACGACACUCGCAAUAUCCUAAUUAUUUAUUUAUA